AUCCUGGCUCAGGAUGAACGCUAGCUACAGGCUUAACACAUGCAAGUCGAGGGCAGCAUCAUCAAAGCUUGCUUUGAUGGAUGGCGACCGGCGCACGGGUGAGUAACACGUAUCCAACCUGCCGACAACACUGGGAUAGCCUUUCGAAAGAAAGAUUAAUACCGGAUGGCAUAGUUUUCCCGCAUGGGAUAAUUAUUAAAGAAUUUCGGUUGUCGAUGGGGAUGCGUUCCAUUAGGCAGUUGGCGGGGUAACGGCCCACCAAACCUACGAUGGAUAGGGGUUCUGAGAGGAAGGUCCCCCACAUUGGAACUGAGACACGGUCCAAACUCCUACGGGAGGCAGCAGUGAGGAAUAUUGGUCAAUGGACGAGAGUCUGAACCAGCCAAGUAGCGUGAAGGAUGACUGCCCUAUGGGUUGUAAACUUCUUUUAUACGGGAAUAAAGUUAGCCACGUGUGGUUUUUUGUAUGUACCGUAUGAAUAAGGAUCGGCUAACUCCGUG
RNAcentral lists this ribosomal RNA (500 nucleotides) under uncultured bacterium. RNAcentral describes it as "bacterial SSU rRNA". It matches the Rfam family "Bacterial small subunit ribosomal RNA", at positions 16 to 507 of the family's 1533-position model. The record is from RNAcentral.